ACUCCUGCCUGGACUGAUUGCUUAGGCACAAGACCUCUGAGCAUUCUCUGCCUGGAAAACCCCGGAAAGGAUGGCCGUAAAGUUGGAAUUGUCUUGACGGCAUGCAACUAUUAUUAUAUUUCCCAGUCAAGAAUGUAUUGCAAGUUAUGGAUUUUCUUAGGCUAAGCAACCAGAUUUUAGCUGUUGUUUAUAAUGCUGUUGAUUCUUACAGCUUUAAAAAAAAUUGCAACUCUUGAGAAAGACAUCCAUGAUGACAAUCCAUUGUGCGUGCAUCUGUUUAUCCAGGUCCUGGAACAUAAUGGAGUUUCACAAAGACACCAAUGUCUGGCCCUUUGCAAUCCAAUUGGACAUGUCUAGUCAUUUCCACUUGCUAAGGACAUUAAGCUCCACCUGCAGAAAUGUUGUGUGGAGGCUUGAAGGUGCCAGAACCCAGUUGACCACCUCUGUGGUCACGUAGCAACAGCGCUUCAUGAACUGUCUCCACAACCUAUCAUGUUUCCAGAAGUAAAUGAAUAUUCUUAGGGAAGCCAUCAUAAAAGUGAUUCUCUUUAAGCCAUUCCUUCCUCUCACUGGAGCCCUUAGAAAUAAUGAUGGCUUGCUUUUGUCUGCAAUUUGGAGCCAGUUAAAUUUAGUUCCUGGACAGAAGGGUUUUUUUUAUGUAAAUUGUCUGCGACAGCUCAUAAUAACAUGGCUUGGUGUUUUUCAGGCAGCAACAACCCAAGCCAGUCAAUGUCUCCAGGCCUUUGGAAUGCAGGUCUUUGCAAAUCGGAAAAACAAGCGGAAUUACCCCGGAGGUGGUUCUUUCAGGAAACCACCUCUGUCUUCCUCUAGUGGGAAAGUCCUCAAAACCGGGCAAAGCCUUUUACAGCUAAAAGUGAAAGGGGCCUCGCAGACUUUGGCUCGGCAGCCGCUCGGAGGCACGCCAGCGUUGCCACCGUCAUCCUGGGCAUGAUCGUCAUUCAUCUGGAAGCGCAUGCUGUUUAUAUUUUUCAAAGCUCCCACCUCCCACCGAGUGUUUAACACGUCUGUUGGGCUCGCUUGUAGUGUCCUAAUAAUUUUCUGCUAGCGGAACAACACCGGCCGGCAUUCCUUCUUCAUUAGCAUAGCUUUUCCGUUUCCUGCCUCUUUUUCUCUCCCCAAGAGUGAGCAUUUUGUUUCUCCUGGAUGUUUUAAAUGGAGGCAAAAUUGAUUCUUGCAUUUGCUUAGGUUAUGUGUAGGAUAUAUUAUGCCAGUAGAAAUUAUUAAUUUUCCUGUAGGGAGACGCCAAUGCUCAAGGCGCUGAUUGACAAAUCAAUAAAUCUUUACUGAGUUUGGUAAAUAAGCUGUCA
Molecule: long non-coding RNA, 1328 nt
Filed under: Pogona vitticeps (central bearded dragon)
Lineage: Eukaryota; Metazoa; Chordata; Lepidosauria; Squamata; Agamidae
Description: lncRNA (ENSPVIG00000004793.1)
Source: RNAcentral